Molecule: non-coding RNA, 946 nt
Organism: Ictidomys tridecemlineatus (thirteen-lined ground squirrel)
Lineage: Eukaryota; Metazoa; Chordata; Mammalia; Rodentia; Sciuridae
Source: RefSeq, a predicted model, not a curated record
GGGGCUCCUGGGAAGGGGUGAGUCAGGGCCGGGGAGCCGGAGGCCCCCAGCCAGGAGUCGGCCCAUCACACCUCUCCCCCAGCCCCCCGCUUGCAGCAAACUUGUUCACCGAAGCACUGACUCAUGUGCAGCUUGUGGUCAGCUCUGACACUCAGCUCAUUCUCUGCUCAUCUUGUGCCCAGCGGGUGGCCUUUAAUUAGGUGCUGUCAACUUCCUGUCUGUCCAUGUUGUCUUUCCCCCUAUUUUUCGCAGAGUAUAUGAAAUCUAAAGAUAUGACAAUGAUGAGGAUGGAAGGUAGAAUUUGCUAUAGUCUAAGUGUUUUAAGUGAAUUAUUAUUUAAAAAAAAAAUCACCAAGUAACCCUCCUAUUUCCUUUCUGUGGACAGGGAAAGUCAGGGUUGAAAAGUCGGAUCACUUGCCAGGGCAACAGAGCUGGGGCUGUGUCUGGUGAAGCUGGAAUACGACCAGCAAUGUGGCUGCAAAGCAUAAGGCCAGCGGGGUCCAGCAGGACAGCCCAGGGCUUCCACUCCAGCACCCCACCACACACCUGGAGAUUGGAGACCUCGGGCUGCAUUUGGCACUGCAGGCUGUUGAAAGGGACCCAGGCUCCUGGCAGGUCCCCCUCCACCACCUACAAAAGGAAAGUCUUUCCAAGAAGCCCUGGCCGAUGGCCAGGCUGUCCCCUGAUUCUGACACCCCAGCUCCUUAACCUGACUGGCCUGGGCACCAACAUUGGUUGGCAGGAUCUCCGUAAGCGGCACGUGGAUGUAGUUGUGUGUUUUUAGUGUUACAACCAGAGAUAUGGAAAAUAUGCUCCAUGUGUGAAACAGGAAUCGUAGUGCACUCUGCUGUCGCAUGUAAAUAAAAAAUAAUAAAGAAGGGAAAAAAUAAUUUUAGAGUUUAAGAAUUUAAAUGCAUUUGAAAAAAUAAAGCUAAAUCACCAAUCA